This 618-nucleotide long non-coding RNA is filed under the name Vigna radiata. RNAcentral describes it as "long non-coding RNA (VRAD_LNC017358)". The record is from RNAcentral. Lineage: Eukaryota; Viridiplantae; Streptophyta; Magnoliopsida; Fabales; Fabaceae.
AUCUAGUCUCUUAAUUUUAUCAUAUUUUUUCAUAUUUUGACACCUCACUUUACAUGUCUCUAUAAUUAUAUUUUUGAAUUAUAUUAUAGUAUAAUUAAAAAGCUACAAACACAUUAAGGCUUCAUUGACAUACAUUAACAGGUUCAUUUUUCUUCCACACAGGAUCAUAUUCAUUUUCCUUUUCUUCCUCAGAUACGCUUCAUCCAUAUGCCUCCAUAAUCCAUAUUGAUCUUUCUCCCACCGUCAUUCAUCAACUCACCAUAUUCAUCCCCUCCACUACCAUUUCAAAAUUUCCAACAACCAAAAUACUAGAACACAACUCCUUUCAUCCAAAACCACUGCCAGUAUCAUUAAUUAACACCUCCAUUCAUUCCCUUCGUCCCCUCCAUUAUCAACCACACUUUUAUCCAUCAUCAACCCACCAUCUCCAUUACUCAAGGCUCUAUUCACAUAACAAAAAAACACACUUUUUACUCUCCAUCCCAACGCAAGAAAGAGGACCAAAAAAGUCCUCACUUCCAUUAUCCAUGCCAAUCAAAACCUUCACUUGUUAAGAAGUAGACUUUAAACCUAACUCAAUCCUACCAACCUAACUUAUAAGGUGAGGUUUGUAUCCAC